GAUGAAGAACGCAGCGAAAUGCGAUAACUAAUGUGAAUUGCAGAAUUCAGUGAAUCAUCGAAUCUUUGAACGCACAUUGCGCCCCUUGGUAUUCCGAGGGGCAUGCCUGUUCGAGCGUCAUUAUAACCCUCAAGCUCAGCUUGGUGUUGGGGCCUGCUGCACUGGCAGCCCUUAAAAUCAGUGGCGGCGCCAUCUGGCUCUAAGCGUAGUAAUUCUUCUCGCUAUGGAGUCCUGGUGGAUGCUUGCCAUCAACCCCCAAUUUUUCUAUGGUUGACCUCGGAUCAGGCAGGGAUACCCGCUGAACUUAAGCAUAUCAAUAAGCGGAGGA
This 328-nucleotide unclassified non-coding RNA is filed under the name soil metagenome. RNAcentral's name for it is "partial contains 5.8S ribosomal RNA, internal transcribed spacer 2, and large subunit ribosomal RNA". The stretch from base 1 to 120 matches the Rfam family "5.8S ribosomal RNA", at positions 35 to 154 of the family's 154-position model. The record is from RNAcentral.